This 422-nucleotide small RNA is filed under the name Arabidopsis thaliana (thale cress). RNAcentral describes it as "ATSL043360". Lineage: Eukaryota; Viridiplantae; Streptophyta; Magnoliopsida; Brassicales; Brassicaceae. The record is from RNAcentral.
ACCUUUUAAAAAAAAUCUUUUAAAAUCUCUUGUAAAUCUUUUAAAACCCGUUUAAAAUCCCUUUUAAAUCUAUUUCCCGCCAAUUUGUUUUUUUGCUGGUAAAAUGUUUUUGAAAAAACAAAUUUGGCGGGAAUUUUGUUUUUGAAAACUUUUUGGCGGAUAAUUGUUUUUCGAAAUUUUUUGACGGGAAAAUAUUUUGACGGGAAAAUUUUGGUGGGAAAUUUAUUUUCGAUUAUUUUGGGUGAAAAAAUAUUAAUAUUUCAUUAUGUUAACCUAAAUUUUUUUCCAAAUAGGGGUUAAAUGGUCAUUAAAAAUUUAAAGAGGGUAUAAAUGAAAAUGGCAAAGAGAAAAUGGUAGAAUUGAAAAGGAGUAGUGUGAAAAGGGCAUUUUCAGCAAUUAUUAUAAACUUUUUGGUAACAUAU